Molecule: ribosomal RNA, 467 nt
Filed under: uncultured bacterium
Lineage: Bacteria
Description: partial 16S ribosomal RNA
Rfam family: Bacterial small subunit ribosomal RNA
Source: RNAcentral
GAUGAACGCUGACAGAAUGCUUAACACAUGCAAGUCAACUUGAGUUUGGGUUUUUAACUUAGGUUUGGGUGGCGGACGGGUGAGUAACGCGUAAAGAACUUGCCUCACAGCUAGGGACAACAUUUGGAAACGAAUGCUAAUACCUAAUAUUAUGAUAAUAGGGCAUCCUAUAAUUAUGAAAGCUAUAAGCGCUGUGAGAGAGCUUUGCGUCCCAUUAGCUAGUUGGAGAGGUAACGGCUCACCAAGGCGAUGAUGGGUAGCCGGCCUGAGAGGGUGAUCGGCCACAAGGGGACUGAGACACGGCCCUUACUCCUACGGGAGGCAGCAGUGGGGAAUAUUGGACAAUGGACCGAGAGUCUGAUCCAGCAAUUCUGUGUGCACGAUGAAGUUUUUCGGAAUGUAAAGUGCUUUCAGUUGGGAAGAAACAAAUGACGGUACCAACAGAAGAAGUGACGGCUAAAUACGUG